AAAUCCUUUACUGUUCACUUACCUCGAUGAGAUCCAUAAAACAACAUAUGAAAGUAAUAACAUUAUCAUCAUCAUGAAAUCAUAUGAACUGUAUAACAUAAUACUUACCACGCCUUUGCAUUUCAAUCAUUAAACAACAUAUUUUCCUCAUUUACGAGCCUACUAGUAUCCAUGGGGAUCCAUAGGGGUCCCACUACCCGCAAACCCUUAACAUUUAUAACCUGAUUCUAGGGCCGUCCCCAUACCCCGUCCGGUAUGGGCGCCAAAACCAUGAACCUCAAUACCCCGUCCGGUAUGAGGGUGAAACGGGCCGUCCCCAUACCCCGUUCGGUAUGGGUGCCAAAACACAUAAGGUCUCCAUACCCCGUCCGGUAUGAGAGACCACGUUCCCGGUAGGGUUCCCUACGGACCCGGUCCGUCCACCAUCUCCUAGGAUAUCUAGUGAGGUUGUCCACAUUUUCU
Molecule: long non-coding RNA, 462 nt
Filed under: Carica papaya (papaya)
Lineage: Eukaryota; Viridiplantae; Streptophyta; Magnoliopsida; Brassicales; Caricaceae
Description: long non-coding RNA (CPAP_LNC000581)
Source: RNAcentral